UCCAGUGUGACUCCAUGCAGGGGAAAGCCAGAUAUUAACCAUGAUUGACCUGCUCUUGCCCUGGAACUUUAAGGGUAAGAAAAGUUUGUCUGAUUCCACGAGUCCAGUUGAGGAAAUGGGUCUUCAAAGGUAACACAAGGGGGACGUCUGGGAUCAAUCUGCCUGUAUCGCCGGGGUCGUGGAGAGGAGUCAGGGCAUACUCAAGCAGCACAGGGUGCAGGGCGGGAACCGGCCCUGGACGGAGUGCCAGUCCAGCGCAGCUACAGAGGGACUGUGAGAUGUCUCAGAAAGGCCAGACUGGAACGUGCACAGCAGACAGAUGAACUGGAGCAGCUCUGGAGCAGGGCUUCGUCUUCGCAGAUGAGCCCUGCGACCCGAAGUCGUGUUCGUCGUAUCCGAAGAGUUUCAGGACUGCGCUCUUCUCUGCGCUUAUCGGAAGCGGCUCGGAGGGAGAGGUGCUGGUGAAGGAGAUAAUCCCUACUGAUUCCUGGAAGCUGCGCAGAUACCUCCUCCACCCGAGGCUGUCUCGGCUGCACACCGGUCCCAUCCUUGCACCGGGUGGCUCUUACAACAGGGUUGCGUAAACUCCAGGAGUUGACCAGAUCAUCUUAGCUCUGCUGCAGCUCUUAUUGUAAUAUAUUAUUUCGUUUAUUGUCGUGCAAAUAUUUCACUUUUAUUUACUGAAGCGGUACAGAACGCGUGAGCCGAUUGGCCACCAGUGCCUGACAGUCGUAGCGAGGUGGGAUGCUGUGGUGUCAAGCACGUUGACGGUGAUGAGCUGAAAAUGUUGUUGGAAAUGAACUGCUACACCGUUCCCACUGUUAUGUAUUUCAGAUCUUUCCAGAGCAUAAAUCUAUCGUUCCAAACAUGCAGUUUUCAGGGAAUGCUACAGCAAAGCUUCUAGGAUCUCCUCAUUGCAAAAUAAUUCUGAAGGGUGCUUGUUGGGAUUCUCUUUGAGUGACCCUGUCAUGGGUAACAGAUUAGAUAAGGAGCUCUUCCCAAUCUUUUUGUACAGGAUUCUACGUUUCUUGCUGCUGAGUUUGUCUGCGCCCUCUCUCUCUCUCUAUUCAGUGAGCACUGAAACAGCAGUAUGACUCCACCUCCAGAGAAGAAGAAAAGCCUUUCAGUGAGGUUGCCAUUUGAAGCCUCUAUUCUCUGUGGCACGAGCCUGCCGGGUGAUGACACAGCUUCUGUGAUGUCUUUGUAUCGCUCUUAUCCUUUUGUUUUGGUCCUAUAUGCAUUAAAAAUAAGGAAACAGUCAUGGGUGACGUGCCUGUUG
Non-coding RNA from Electrophorus electricus (electric eel), 1279 nucleotides. The record is from RefSeq and is a predicted model, not a curated record. Lineage: Eukaryota; Metazoa; Chordata; Actinopteri; Gymnotiformes; Gymnotidae.